RNAcentral lists this transfer RNA (67 nucleotides) under Allotermes cf. paradoxus. RNAcentral's name for it is "tRNA-Leu". The record is from RNAcentral. Lineage: Eukaryota; Metazoa; Arthropoda; Insecta; Blattodea; Kalotermitidae.
ACUAUUUUGGCAGAUAAGUGCGGUGGAUUUAGAAUCUAUUUAUGUAUUUUGUUUAGUACAUUUAGUG